UACGGAGGAUGCGAGCGUUAUCCGGAUUUAUUGGGUUUAAAGGGUGCGUAGGCGGUCUGAUAAGUCAGUGGUGAAAGUUUUCAGCUUAACUGGAAAAUGCCGUUGAUACUGUCAGGCUAGAAUAUGGUUGCUGUGAGUGGAAUGUGUGGUGUAGCGGUGAAAUGCUUAGAUAUCACACAGAAUAUCGAUUGCGAAGGCAGCUCACAAAGCCAUUAUUGACGCUGAGGCACGAAAGUGUGGGGAUCAAACAGG
Molecule: ribosomal RNA, 252 nt
Filed under: uncultured bacterium
Lineage: Bacteria
Description: partial 16S ribosomal RNA
Rfam family: Bacterial small subunit ribosomal RNA
Source: RNAcentral